RNAcentral lists this ribosomal RNA (253 nucleotides) under uncultured bacterium. Its description in RNAcentral is "partial 16S ribosomal RNA". It matches the Rfam family "Bacterial small subunit ribosomal RNA", at positions 524 to 776 of the family's 1533-position model. The record is from RNAcentral.
GACGAAGGAUGCAAGCGUUAUCCGGAUUCAUUGGGUUUAAAGGGAGCGUAGGUGGCCUUAUAAGUCAGUGGUGAAAUCUCUGGGCUUAACCCAGAAAUUGCCAUUGAUACUGUAGGGCUUGAGUAUAGUUGCCGUUGGCGGAAUAUGACAUGUAGUGGUGAAAUACAUAGAGAUGUCAUAGAACACCGAUUGCGAAGGCAGCUAACGAAACUAUAACUGACACUGAGGCUCGAAAGUGUGGGGAUCAAACAGG